Molecule: ribosomal RNA, 468 nt
Filed under: uncultured bacterium
Lineage: Bacteria
Description: partial 16S ribosomal RNA
Rfam family: Bacterial small subunit ribosomal RNA
Source: RNAcentral
GAUGAACGCUGGCGGCGUGCUUAACACAUGCAAGUCGAACGGAAAGGCCCUUGUUUGGUGUGGUGCUCGAGUGGCGAACGGGUGAGUAACACGUGGGUAACCUGCCCUGCACUUUGGGAUAACUUUGGGAAACUGGGUCUAAUACCGGAUAGGAGCUCCUUCUGGAUGGUGGGGUGGGGAGUGUUUCGGCGGUUGGGGAUGGACUCGGGGCUUAUCAUUUUGUUGGUGGGGUAGUGGCUUAACAAGGCUUCGGCGGGGCGCCGGCCUGGGGGGGUGACCGGCCACGUUGGGCUUGGAAUAGGGCCAGGCGCCUUCGGGGAGGAAGAAGGGGGGAAUAUGGCAAAAUGGGGGGAAGCCGGAUGAGGCAACGCCGCGUGCGGGAUGAGGGCUUUCGGGUGGUAAACCGCUUUGGCAUGUGCCGAAGCGUGAGUGACGGUAAUGGGUAAAGAAGCACCGGCUAACUACGUG